Molecule: ribosomal RNA, 373 nt
Filed under: uncultured organism
Description: partial 16S ribosomal RNA
Rfam family: Bacterial small subunit ribosomal RNA
Source: RNAcentral
GUAGGUCCCGAGCGUUGUCCGGGAUUUAUUGGGGCGUAAAGCGAGCGCAGGCGGUUUGAUAAGUCUGAAGUAAAAGGCUGUGGGCUUAACCAUAGUAUGCUUUGGAAACUGUCAAACUUGAGUGCAGAAGGGGAGAGUGGAAUUCCAUGUGUAGCGGUGAAAUGCGUAGAUAUAUGGAGGAACACCGGUGGCGAAAGCGGCUCUCUGGUCUGUAACUGACGCUGAGGCUCGAAAGCGUGGGGAGCAAACAGGAUUAGAUACCCUGGUAGUCCACGCCGUAAACGAUGAGUGCUAGGUGUUGGGUCCUUUCCGGGACUCAGUGCCGUAGCUAACGCAUUAAGCACUCCGCCUGGGGAGUACGACCGCAAGGUUG